AUUGAACGCUGGCGGCAUGCUUUACACAUGCAAGUCGAACGGUAACAGGUUAAGCUGACGAGUGGCGAACGGGUGAGUAAUGCAUCGGAACGUGCCCGAUCGUGGGGGAUAACGCAGCGAAAGCUGCGCUAAUACCGCAUACGAUCUGAGGAUGAAAGCGGGGGACCGUAAGGCCUCGCGCGAUCGGAGCGGCCGAUGGCAGAUUAGGUAGUUGGCGGGGUAAAGGCUCACCAAGCCGACGAUCUGUAGCUGGUCUGAGAGGACGACCAGCCACACUGGGAUGGAGACACGGCCCAGACUCCUACGGGAGGCAGCAGUGGGGAAUUUUGGACAAUGGGCGAAAGCCUGAUCCAGCAAUGCCGCGUGCAGGAAGAAGGCCUUCGGGUUGUAAACUGCUUUUGUACGGAGCGAAAAGGCUCUCUCUAAUACAGGGGGCUCAUGACGGUACCGUAAGAAUAAGCACCGGCUAACUACGUGCCAGCAGCCGCGGUAA
This 493-nucleotide ribosomal RNA is filed under the name uncultured bacterium. RNAcentral describes it as "partial 16S ribosomal RNA". It matches the Rfam family "Bacterial small subunit ribosomal RNA", at positions 29 to 523 of the family's 1533-position model. The record is from RNAcentral.